GGGGAUAUAGCUCAGUGGUAGAGCACUUGCCUAGGAAGCGCAAGGCCCUGGGUUCGGUCCCCAGCUCCA
This 69-nucleotide transfer RNA is filed under the name Rattus norvegicus (Norway rat). It matches the Rfam family "tRNA". Rfam says of the family: Transfer RNA (tRNA) molecules are approximately 80 nucleotides in length. The record is from Rfam by way of RNAcentral. Lineage: Eukaryota; Metazoa; Chordata; Mammalia; Rodentia; Muridae.